Molecule: non-coding RNA, 1176 nt
Organism: Lactuca sativa (garden lettuce)
Lineage: Eukaryota; Viridiplantae; Streptophyta; Magnoliopsida; Asterales; Asteraceae
Source: RefSeq, a predicted model, not a curated record
UAUAGGUCAUAUUUUGUCAUUUUGUAUAUUGUUGGUGGGUAUGUGUUCUUUUGUGAUUGGUUGAAUUUUUUUAAUUUUUUUUGUUUCUUUGUUUGCCUGUUAUUAGUGUGUGGAUUUAUGUCUUGUGUACGUGUUGUAUUGUUGUCAUCAUCUAUUCUCACCGUCUCUCUAAGCCAAUAACCGACUUCCACCAACAUGUGACUUAUCAUGUUCUUCGUUUCAAAGAAUUUGAAAUGACUUUGUUUUCCGGUUGUUGAUUCGCGUCUUCACUCUGCUCCUUUGCCGCCAACAUCUACCAAUUUUGGCUUCUAUGAUUUACCAAUUUAGGAUUUGUUUUCCUGUUUCCAAAUGUUGAAAGUGUUGGCGUCGAGACGCCCCCAAUGCAUACGAGACACCGCUAACGCGGUACCAUCAACCUCCGUUCACUGCCACGUACCACCAUUGUCGUCGAAGCCGGACGUUCACAGCAAUCGAUCUUCGACCGCCGCCUUCUUUCUUCCUUCACAGCUCCCGGAAUAGCCCUAAAGUUAAAGUGGUCCACUGGUGCUCCGAUUCAUUGACCCCAACUUUAGGUGCUUCUCCAACCUAAUUUUUCUCAAAUUAUAGCCAUAGAGGUAGAAUUUUUCUUUUUAUGUUUAAUUUUCAUAUGACAAUCAUAGUUGUUUGGAUUCCUUGCUUCUAUGUCGACUUGAUUGUGCGAUUACUUACUACCAGUUAAAGGUUGACUAAUUGAAGAUCUAGAAUCAGUCAAGGUAAAGGACUUGAACCCAAUUUUCAUGUUCACCUAACUUCCUCUGUCUUUCUCUCCUAUGUCUAUGAUAGAGAGCAUGUCGCGUUAGGUUUUGGAAACAAUACGUGUGCCUACGCUUUCUCUUUCGAAUCAGGAAAUCGAAGAUAUAAGGGCUCUCAGAUGGUGACGAAUCUACCAACAAAAAUCAUUGGUAGAGGUUUUAGUUAGGAACAAUUUUAUCUAUCAAAAUUAUAAUGAUUAUAAGUUAUGAUUGUUGAAAAUAAUUCUCUAAUACCGGAGGGAGUGGGUUGCGGCUCCUGCCGCACUUGAGUGUCACAUCAACAGGAACACCACCCCCUGGGGUGCAGUAAAGGUGAGAUAGGGGGUGUUGUGUGACAUUCCAAGGGAAUACUCUUUCAAACAAUGUGAUUAGUUCUUUUUUCUUA